RNAcentral lists this ribosomal RNA (468 nucleotides) under uncultured bacterium. RNAcentral describes it as "partial 16S ribosomal RNA". It matches the Rfam family "Bacterial small subunit ribosomal RNA", at positions 28 to 507 of the family's 1533-position model. The record is from RNAcentral.
GACGAACGCUGGCGGCGUGCUUAACACAUGCAAGUCGAACGGAAAGGCCCUGCUUUUGUGGGGUGCUCGAGUGGCGAACGGGUGAGUAACACGUGCGUAACCUGCCCUUGCCUUUGGGAUAACUUCCGGAGACUGGGGCUAAUACCGGCUAGGAGCUCCUGCUGCAUGGUGGGGGUUGGAUAGUUUCGGCGGUUGGGGAUGGACUCGCGGCUUAUCAGCUUGUUGGUGGGGUUGUGGCUUACCAAGGCUUUGACGGGUAGCCGGCCUGAGAGGGUGACCGGCCACAGUGGGACUGAGAUACGGCCCAGACUCCUACGGGAGGCAGCAGUGGGGAAUAUUGAACAAUGGGCGGAAGCCUGAUGCAGCAACGCCGCGUGCGGGAUGACGGCCUUCGGGUUGUAAACCGCUUUCGCCUGUGACGAAGCGUGAGUGACGGUAAUGGGUAAAGAAGCACCGGCUAACUACGUG